UACGGAGGGGGCGAGCGUUAUUCGGAAUUAUUGGGCGUAAAGGGCGCGUAGGCGGCCCGGUAAGUCAAAGGUGAAAUCCCUCGGCUCAACUGAGGAACUGCCUUUGAAACUGUCAGGCUUGAGGCCGGGAGGGGGUGGCGGAAUUCCCGGUGUAGUGGUGAAAUGCGUAGAUAUCGGGAGGAACACCAGUGGCGAAGGCGGCUUCCUGGCCCGUUCUUGACGCUGAGGCGCGAAAGCUGAGGGAGCAAACGGGG
RNAcentral lists this ribosomal RNA (254 nucleotides) under uncultured bacterium. RNAcentral describes it as "partial 16S ribosomal RNA". It matches the Rfam family "Bacterial small subunit ribosomal RNA", at positions 524 to 777 of the family's 1533-position model. The record is from RNAcentral.